GUGCCAGCAGCCGCGGUAAUACGUAGGGGGCAAGCGUUGUCCGGAUUCAUUGGGCGUAAAGCGCGUGUAGGCGGCCAGGUAGGUCCGGUGUGAAAACUCGAGGCUCAACCUCGAGAGGUCAUCGGAAACCAUCUGGCUAGAGUCCGGAAGAGGAGAGUGGAAUUCCCGGUGUAGCGGUGAAAUGCGCAGAUAUCGGGAAGAACACCCAUGGCGAAGGCAGCUCUCUGGGACGGUACUGACGCUGAGACGCGAAAGCGUGGGGAGCGAACAGGAUUAGAUACCCUGGUAGUCC
RNAcentral lists this ribosomal RNA (292 nucleotides) under uncultured bacterium. Its description in RNAcentral is "partial 16S ribosomal RNA". It matches the Rfam family "Bacterial small subunit ribosomal RNA", at positions 505 to 796 of the family's 1533-position model. The record is from RNAcentral.